UCUUGAACACCACCUUAUAUGAAUUCACCUUUUAAAACACGUUCUAUUUCUUUUAAAACAUUUUAAAUACAUUGAAAUGGACAAGCGAACACCAAAAAAUCUCCAGGAUCUUUUGAGGUUCGCAAUAAGUCAGAAGCAUACUGAAGGAAAUGAGUGUAUUAAAAUCGACGAGGAUGUAAGUUAAGUAAACAUUUAAAAAAUGGACCGUAAAACCAAAUACUAUUAUUACAACAAAUUUUGGAAAACUUUAAUCUUAUAACCCGUAUGUUUGCUGAUAUUCUACUUGUUAAAAAACAUUUUAUGAACAGUCAGAAUUCGGGCAGGGGACUUCUGCCCAGUUGUUGGUAAAUACUGGCCUUUUUGGGGUAUUACAAAAUAUAAUUUUAACUGUAUGUUCAGCUCCAACAAGUUUCCCAAGAUUUUAUAUAAAAAUAAAGCAAAUGUAUUUCAAAUUUAUUAGA
Molecule: long non-coding RNA, 461 nt
Organism: Lucilia cuprina (Australian sheep blowfly)
Lineage: Eukaryota; Metazoa; Arthropoda; Insecta; Diptera; Calliphoridae
Exons: 2
Source: RefSeq, a predicted model, not a curated record